UAGGGGAGGUCCCGGUUGCGUAAAGAGAUUUUAUUGGACGACACAGUGUCGGUAAUGAAAAUGAACGAAUGGGCUGCUCACACUUCGGAGGCCCUUGAACUGAUCCAUCGCAAUUCCCGGUGUGCCAAAUUACCACUCCAGCCCUGGUAACAAAACCGAAGGAGCUCCUCAGACUCACACACCAGACAAACACAAUGUGCAAGUACAGCUUGUCUGUCCGCUCACCUGCAGGUGAGGUCGGGAUUAUCAAAUUAAAUCACUCCAAAAAGCAGCAGAAGACCGUGAAAGACUUGAAGAUCAAAGCAGCGCAACUGUUUCCAAAGAAAGGAUAUCUUAUGCUGAAUUCCGGCUGAUUGUCUCUGGAAAGCCGCUGGACGAUGACUCUGCAUCUCUGUCUGAAUAUGGGAUCAAACCCUCGUCUGUGGUGCAGAUGGUGACGAAGGUCCACGGAGGCUGACAAAUAUCAUCAUCGAUGCACUCGACUCCAUCCAAAAGAUUCACCUCAGGACUGAAAUGUGAUACACCAAAGGACUCGAUGCAUCAUCUUUGCUAGCUGCGACUGAACUGUGUCAUCUUUGAUCUUCUCUUCUACACUUUUGGGUCUUCCUUUAGAUUUUAA
Molecule: long non-coding RNA, 619 nt
Organism: Oreochromis niloticus (Nile tilapia)
Lineage: Eukaryota; Metazoa; Chordata; Actinopteri; Cichliformes; Cichlidae
Exons: 3
Source: RefSeq, a predicted model, not a curated record